This 2926-nucleotide ribosomal RNA is filed under the name Escherichia coli. Its description in RNAcentral is "23S ribosomal RNA". It matches the Rfam family "Bacterial large subunit ribosomal RNA". Lineage: Bacteria; Pseudomonadati; Pseudomonadota; Gammaproteobacteria; Enterobacterales; Enterobacteriaceae. The record is from RNAcentral.
GGGUUGUGAGGUUAAGCGACUAAGCGUACACGGUGGAUGCCCUGGCAGUCAGAGGCGAUGAAGGACGUGCUAAUCUGCGAUAAGCGUCGGUAAGGUGAUAUGAACCGUUAUAACCGGCGAUUUCCGAAUGGGGAAACCCAGUGUGAUUCGUCACACUAUCAUUAACUGAAUCCAUAGGUUAAUGAGGCGAACCGGGGGAACUGAAACAUCUAAGUACCCCGAGGAAAAGAAAUCAACCGAGAUUCCCCCAGUAGCGGCGAGCGAACGGGGAGGAGCCCAGAGCCUGAAUCAGUGUGUGUGUUAGUGGAAGCGUCUGGAAAGGCGCGCGAUACAGGGUGACAGCCCCGUACACAAAAAUGCACAUGCUGUGAGCUCGAUGAGUAGGGCGGGACACGUGGUAUCCUGUCUGAAUAUGGGGGGACCAUCCUCCAAGGCUAAAUACUCCUGACUGACCGAUAGUGAACCAGUACCGUGAGGGAAAGGCGAAAAGAACCCCGGCGAGGGGAGUGAAAAAGAACCUGAAACCGUGUACGUACAAGCAGUGGGAGCACGCUUCGGCGUGUGACUGCGUACCUUUUGUAUAAUGGGUCAGCGACUUAUAUUCUGUAGCAAGGUUAACCGAAUAGGGGAGCCGAAGGGAAACCGAGUCUUAACUGGGCGUUAAGUUGCAGGGUAUAGACCCGAAACCCGGUGAUCUAGCCAUGGGCAGGUUGAAGGUUGGGUAACACUAACUGGAGGACCGAACCGACUAAUGUUGAAAAAUUAGCGGAUGACUUGUGGCUGGGGGUGAAAGGCCAAUCAAACCGGGAGAUAGCUGGUUCUCCCCGAAAGCUAUUUAGGUAGCGCCUCGUGAAUUCAUCUCCGGGGGUAGAGCACUGUUUCGGCAAGGGGGUCAUCCCGACUUACCAACCCGAUGCAAACUGCGAAUACCGGAGAAUGUUAUCACGGGAGACACACGGCGGGUGCUAACGUCCGUCGUGAAGAGGGAAACAACCCAGACCGCCAGCUAAGGUCCCAAAGUCAUGGUUAAGUGGGAAACGAUGUGGGAAGGCCCAGACAGCCAGGAUGUUGGCUUAGAAGCAGCCAUCAUUUAAAGAAAGCGUAAUAGCUCACUGGUCGAGUCGGCCUGCGCGGAAGAUGUAACGGGGCUAAACCAUGCACCGAAGCUGCGGCAGCGACACUAUGUGUUGUUGGGUAGGGGAGCGUUCUGUAAGCCUGUGAAGGUGUACUGUGAGGUAUGCUGGAGGUAUCAGAAGUGCGAAUGCUGACAUAAGUAACGAUAAAGCGGGUGAAAAGCCCGCUCGCCGGAAGACCAAGGGUUCCUGUCCAACGUUAAUCGGGGCAGGGUGAGUCGACCCCUAAGGCGAGGCCGAAAGGCGUAGUCGAUGGGAAACAGGUUAAUAUUCCUGUACUUGGUGUUACUGCGAAGGGGGGACGGAGAAGGCUAUGUUGGCCGGGCGACGGUUGUCCCGGUUUAAGCGUGUAGGCUGGUUUUCCAGGCAAAUCCGGAAAAUCAAGGCUGAGGCGUGAUGACGAGGCACUACGGUGCUGAAGCAACAAAUGCCCUGCUUCCAGGAAAAGCCUCUAAGCAUCAGGUAACAUCAAAUCGUACCCCAAACCGACACAGGUGGUCAGGUAGAGAAUACCAAGGCGCUUGAGAGAACUCGGGUGAAGGAACUAGGCAAAAUGGUGCCGUAACUUCGGGAGAAGGCACGCUGAUAUGUAGGUGAAGUCCCUCGCGGAUGGAGCUGAAAUCAGUCGAAGAUACCAGCUGGCUGCAACUGUUUAUUAAAAACACAGCACUGUGCAAACACGAAAGUGGACGUAUACGGUGUGACGCCUGCCCGGUGCCGGAAGGUUAAUUGAUGGGGUCAGCGGUAACGCGAAGCUCUUGAUCGAAGCCCCGGUAAACGGCGGCCGUAACUAUAACGGUCCUAAGGUAGCGAAAUUCCUUGUCGGGUAAGUUCCGACCUGCACGAAUGGCGUAAUGAUGGCCAGGCUGUCUCCACCCGAGACUCAGUGAAAUUGAACUCGCUGUGAAGAUGCAGUGUACCCGCGGCAAGACGGAAAGACCCCGUGAACCUUUACUAUAGCUUGACACUGAACAUUGAGCCUUGAUGUGUAGGAUAGGUGGGAGGCUUUGAAGUGUGGACGCCAGUCUGCAUGGAGCCGACCUUGAAAUACCACCCUUUAAUGUUUGAUGUUCUAACGUUGACCCGUUAUCCGGGUUGCGGACAGUGUCUGGUGGGUAGUUUGACUGGGGCGGUCUCCUCCUAAAGAGUAACGGAGGAGCACGAAGGUUGGCUAAUCCUGGUCGGACAUCAGGAGGUUAGUGCAAUGGCAUAAGCCAGCUUGACUGCGAGCGUGACGGCGCGAGCAGGUGCGAAAGCAGGUCAUAGUGAUCCGGUGGUUCUGAAUGGAAGGGCCAUCGCUCAACGGAUAAAAGGUACUCCGGGGAUAACAGGCUGAUACCGCCCAAGAGUUCAUAUCGACGGCGGUGUUUGGCACCUCGAUGUCGGCUCAUCACAUCCUGGGGCUGAAGUAGGUCCCAAGGGUAUGGCUGUUCGCCAUUUAAAGUGGUACGCGAGCUGGGUUUAGAACGUCGUGAGACAGUUCGGUCCCUAUCUGCCGUGGGCGCUGGAGAACUGAGGGGGGCUGCUCCUAGUACGAGAGGACCGGAGUGGACGCAUCACUGGUGUUCGGGUUGUCAUGCCAAUGGCACUGCCCGGUAGCUAAAUGCGGAAGAGAUAAGUGCUGAAAGCAUCUAAGCACGAAACUUGCCCCGAGAUGAGUUCUCCCUGACUCCUUGAGAGUCCUGAAGGAACGUUGAAGACGACGACGUUGAUAGGCCGGGUGUGUAAGCGCAGCGAUGCGUUGAGCUAACCGGUACUAAUGAACCGUGAGGCUUAACCUUACAACGCCGAAG